GCAUUGGUGGUUCAGUGGUAGGAUUUUCACCUUCUGUGCAGAAGACCUGGGUUUACUUCCCAGCCAAUGCA
RNAcentral lists this transfer RNA (71 nucleotides) under Loxodonta africana (African savanna elephant). It matches the Rfam family "tRNA". Rfam says of the family: Transfer RNA (tRNA) molecules are approximately 80 nucleotides in length. Their secondary structure includes four short double-helical elements and three loops (D, anti-codon, and T loops). The record is from Rfam by way of RNAcentral. Lineage: Eukaryota; Metazoa; Chordata; Mammalia; Proboscidea; Elephantidae.